CAGGCUCCCAGCACCCACCCACCACCAAACCAGGCUCCCAGCACCCACCCACCAUCACACCAGGUUCAAAUUAUGCUGGAACCAUCACACCAAAUCCCACCAGUGCGGCAGCCACGUAAAAGAACCAAAACAAUUAAAGAUUGCUCUCACAACCAUCUGGAGGUGUUCCCUGUCCGCAACAUAAUAAAGACAAGGAACCGAAAGGGGGGGACGGAGCACCUUUAUGACUGGGAGCCCUGCACCAUUUGGUAUGUUAAUUGGCUUUUGUACAAUUACAUCUAUGUGUACAUUUGUGGUAAUUGUUGGCAUGCCAUUAUCUUAGGUGGCAUUUGUUAAAGAAAAAUGCAAAAAGUUCUGCUGUCUGUAGCACCAGCUAUACACAAGUUAUUUUAAAUGUGCAAAGUCCACACUAAACGAUACAUUGAAACUAGGUAGUUUAUUUAAUUAAAGCUGUGUCAAUAUUUGAUUACACCACAGAGACACCAGGUUCACGUUAGCUAC
Molecule: long non-coding RNA, 501 nt
Organism: Gymnodraco acuticeps
Lineage: Eukaryota; Metazoa; Chordata; Actinopteri; Perciformes; Bathydraconidae
Exons: 3
Source: RefSeq, a predicted model, not a curated record